Molecule: long non-coding RNA, 1048 nt
Filed under: Bemisia tabaci
Lineage: Eukaryota; Metazoa; Arthropoda; Insecta; Hemiptera; Aleyrodidae
Description: lncRNA ENSSSA1UGG010623
Source: RNAcentral
AUUAUGCCCAAGCCGGGUAAAUCAUGCAGGGAGUUGCUAGCAGGUAGAGCUGGUGUGCACAAUGACAAAUCCACGAGGGUAGUGGUUCAGCCCAAAAAAAGUUAUUCCUGUACCUAUGAACAAUAAUUCACCUACCCAAAGUAAUGCCAAUAUUUUCGACAAUAUGGAGGAGCUUAUUACCUCACCUCCCUCUUCGCCUCCCUCGUCUCAGCCUCAGCAAACAGAGGCCGCAGUCGCAGCUUCCACCUCGGGUGCGUCUGCUGAAGUGAACACCACGAUUCAGAAAAAUCCUCAGAAAAAACCCACUAAAGCUGCGAAAAAAUGGACGGACGAACAAUUGGCAGAACUUAUCAAUGCGUACAAGGACCAUCAAUGUCUAUGGAAUGUGACAGACAGCAAGUACGUUGACAAGAAUGCACGAUCCAGGGCUCUGACAGACAUUCACAGAGAUCUAACAGCUCGAUAUGUCAUCAACAAUAAUGUUACUGUUGAGGAAAUGAAGACACGAUGGAAUGGGCUUCGCAGCCAAUACACUGCUGAACUGCGUAGAGUCCAGCUAAAAAGGAGGACAGGCACUGGAAGAGAAGACAUUAGCGAGGAUGAGGAUGAAGAAGUGGAGCUGGCGAACAUGAAAUUUUUCAUCAAUUUACAUUUCUUGCGGAACUCAGUUUCUAUCCGCACUAGUAAGGCUAACUCACAAGGGGAAGAUUUUUUUGAAGAAUUAAUUCAGGAUGAAGAGAUGCAAAAUGAAUCCACCCCUUUGAGAAGAAAGAGUACCAACACAAAUUUGGGUCCGCCUAUCAAAAGAAAGAAGCAAGAAGAAGUUAAACUAUCUACUUUAAUGCAAACUGCAAACUCUGCGCUUGAGUACCUCAAAGAAAAUCGAGCUCCGCGUCAGCCUCCAGCACCUGCACCAGCCCCUGCCGCGCCAACAGUAAAUGACCAUUUUUCGAUUGUUGGCUCGUAUGUAGCCUCCCAUUUGCGUAAUCUGCCAUCCGAAGACGCGAUCUUAAAAGAGGCAGCUAUUAUGCAGGUAAUGUUUGGGUGA